This 497-nucleotide ribosomal RNA is filed under the name uncultured bacterium. Its description in RNAcentral is "partial 16S ribosomal RNA". It matches the Rfam family "Bacterial small subunit ribosomal RNA", at positions 28 to 507 of the family's 1533-position model. The record is from RNAcentral.
GAUGAACGCUGGCGGCGUGCCUAAUACAUGCAAGUCGAGCGAACAGACGAGGAGCUUGCUCCUCUGACGUUAGCGGCGGACGGGUGAGUAACACGUGGAUAACCUACCUAUAAGACUGGGAUAACUUCGGGAAACCGGAGCUAAUACCGGAUAAUAUAUUGAACCGCAUGGUUCAAUAGUGAAAGACGGUUUUGCUGUCACUUAUAGAUGGAUCCGCGCCGCAUUAGCUAGUUGGUAAGGUAACGGCUUACCAAGGCGACGAUGCGUAGCCGACCUGAGAGGGUGAGGGGCCACACUGGGACUGAGACACGGUCCAGACUCCGCCGGGAGGCAGCAGUAGGGAGUGUUGCACAAGGGGCGAAAGCCUGACGGACCAAGCCGGCGUGAGGGAUGAAGGGUUUCGGAUCUUAAAACUCUGUUAUUGGGAAAGAAAAAAUGUGUAAGUACCUAUGCACGUCUUGACGGUACCUAAUCAGAAAGCCACGGCUAACUACGUG